UUCAAGGAUGAACACCUGAUAGGGACAGCUUAUGCACAAUGUGCAGAUGCUGAGAGCUCAGGCAGAGUAUUUUAGUAGAUGCCUCUCUUGUCUGACA
Molecule: small nucleolar RNA, 97 nt
Organism: Aureobasidium subglaciale EXF-2481
Lineage: Eukaryota; Fungi; Ascomycota; Dothideomycetes; Dothideales; Saccotheciaceae
Rfam family: A. fumigatus snoRNA Afu_335
Source: Rfam